CCUACGGGAGGCAGCAGUAGGGAAUCUUCCACAAUGGGCGCAAGCCUGAUGGAGCAACACCGCGUGAGUGAAGAAGGGUUUCGGCUCGUAAAACUCUGUUGUUAAAGAAGAACGUAUCUAAGAGUAACUGCUUAGGUAGUGACGGUAUUUAACCAGAAAGCCACGGCUAACUACGUGCCAGCAGCCGCGGUAAUACGUAGGUGGCAAGCGUUAUCCGGAUUUAUUGGGCGUAAAGCGAGCGCAGGCGGUUUUUUAAGUCU
RNAcentral lists this ribosomal RNA (260 nucleotides) under uncultured Bacillota bacterium. Its description in RNAcentral is "uncultured Firmicutes bacterium partial 16S ribosomal RNA". It matches the Rfam family "Bacterial small subunit ribosomal RNA", at positions 338 to 590 of the family's 1533-position model. Lineage: Bacteria; Bacillati; Bacillota. The record is from RNAcentral.